AUACAACUCUCAGCAACGGAUAUCUUGGCUCUUGCAACGAUGAAGAACGCAGCGAAAUGCGAUACGUAGUGUGAAUUGCAGAAUUCCGCGAAUCAUCGAGUCUUUGAACGCAAGUUGCGCCCGAGGCUUGACCGAGGGCAUUUCUGCCAGAGCGUCAC
This 158-nucleotide ribosomal RNA is filed under the name Aloina rigida. Its description in RNAcentral is "5.8S ribosomal RNA". It matches the Rfam family "5.8S ribosomal RNA". Rfam says of the family: 5.8S ribosomal RNA (5.8S rRNA) is a component of the large subunit of the eukaryotic ribosome. Lineage: Eukaryota; Viridiplantae; Streptophyta; Bryopsida; Pottiales; Pottiaceae. The record is from RNAcentral.